CACGUAGGGUGCGAGCGUUGUCCGGAAUUAUUGGGCGUAAAGAGCUCGUAGGCGGUGUGUCGCGUCGGCCGUGAAAACCUGCAGCUUAACUGUGGGCGUGCGGUCGAUACGGGCAUCACUGGAGUUCGGCAGGGGAGACUGGAAUUCCUGGUGUAGCGGUGAAAUGCGCAGAUAUCAGGAGGAACACCGGUGGCGAAGGCGGGUCUCUGGGCCGAUACUGACGUUGAGGAGCGAAAGCGUGGGGAGCAAACAGG
This 254-nucleotide ribosomal RNA is filed under the name uncultured bacterium. RNAcentral's name for it is "partial 16S ribosomal RNA". It matches the Rfam family "Bacterial small subunit ribosomal RNA", at positions 524 to 776 of the family's 1533-position model. The record is from RNAcentral.